Long non-coding RNA from Coffea eugenioides, 1192 nucleotides. RefSeq lists it as uncharacterized. NCBI's taxonomy places the organism in Eukaryota, Viridiplantae, Streptophyta, Magnoliopsida, Gentianales, Rubiaceae. The record is from RefSeq and is a predicted model, not a curated record. The transcript is spliced from 4 exons.
GUGCGGGAGAAUCUAUUUAUUGGCAAUAUUGGGGAUGCUGCAGAUGUUCUCCAGCAUGGUAGUGGUGAAAUUACACAUAUAUUAUCAGUUCUCAGCUCCACGUCAAUUUCAUUUUUCUCAGAAUGGCGAAGGGAGAUUCUGAUCCCUACAGAAGAGAUUCGUAAGGUGUAUGUUGGGGGUUCGGGAACAGAGGAUGAUUCAGGUGAUGGGUCCAAGAGUUCUCUGGCACCAGAAAAGGUGCUAUAUUCCUUAGAGAAAGCAGGGAAGGAUGGCUGUACCAUUGAGAGAUACAGAGAGUGAGGAUCUAUUGGAUUACUUGGAUGUUUGUUUAGAUUUUAUUGACCGAAGUAGACAAGAAGGGUCUGUAUUGGUUCACUGCUUUGCUGGUGUAUCAAGAAGUGCAGCUAUUAUUACAGCAUAUCUGAUGAGGACCGAAGAGCUAUCCCACGAAGAUGGGUUUGCAUUUCUGUCGAUGCACUUGAAUCACUAAGGCAAAGCUGUGAAUUUGUCUGCCCAAAUGAUGGCUUCCUGGAUCAGCUCAAAAUGUUUGAAGAAAUGGGUUUCAGAGUUGAUUACGCUAGCCCUAUAUACAAGCGUUUCCACUUGAAAGUACUAGGUAGAGUACUCCAUUGAUAUCCUAUUAUGUUUCUUGGUUCUUGAACUGCAUGAUUUGCUAAUAGUUUUUUUGUGUUGAUGUCUAGCGUGUUACCUGUUACUCAUUUUCCAUUAUGGGAGUUAUAGAUUGUGUACUGGAUCUGUGUGUUUCAAGUUAGCAAACAUUGUUACACCUUACUUGGUUGUUUUGAGAAAAAAUUGCAUAACAUGUACGUGAAAAAUGGCAUCCACAGCUUGUGCCUAAUGAUUUCAGUAAGUUCAUUUUAUAUGCUUUUGCAACAAACUGUUUUCUACAAAUUUUGUUGAUGCAUGAUCUGAUUUUGCACUAAUCACUUGAGAUACUAGGAUUUCUUAUGUGUCACAUCAUUAUUAUUUACAAUUUUAAGAUUCGUUUUAUGCUAAUCUGUCCCUCUCUCCCCUUCACGAAUAUACUUGUGAUUUAAUUGCAGAUGCAUUGUUCACACCAUACGUUACUUCAGUUUUGAACAGUAGCUGCUGAAUAUACUUUAACAGUUCAAAUGGUCUAUUAGUAACCUUGCCAAUGUUGCACUGAGUUACUGCUAGUUUCCAUUUUCUG